AACGCUAGCUACAGGCUUAACACAUGCAAGUCGAGGGGAAACGACAUCGAAAGCUUGCUUUUGAUGGGCGUCGACCGGCGCACGGGUGAGUAACGCGUAUCCAACCUGCCCACCACUUGGGGAUAACCUUGCGAAAGUAAGACUAAUACCCAAUGAUAUCUCUAGAAGACAUCUGAAAGAGAUUAAAGAUUUAUCGGUGAUGGAUGGGGAUGCGUCUGAUUAGCUUGUUGGCGGGGUAACGGCCCACCAAGGCAACGAUCAGUAGGGGUUCUGAGAGGAAGGUCUCCCACAUUGGAACUGAGACACGGUCCAAACUCCUACGGGAGGCAGCAGUGAGGAAUAUUGGUCAAUGGACGAGAGUCUGAACCAGCCAAGUAGCGUGCAGGAAGACGGCCCUAUGGGUUGUAAACUGCUUUUAUAAGGGAAUAAAGUGAGAGUCGUGACUCUUUUUGCAUGUACCUUAUGAAUAAGGACCGGCUAAUUCCGUGCCAGCAGCCGCGGUAAUACGGAAGGUCCGGGCGUUAUCCGGAUUUAUUGGGUUUAAAGGGAGCGUAGGCCGGAGAUUAAGCGUGUUGUGAAAUGUAGACGCUCAACGUCUGCACUGCAGCGCGAACUGGUUUCCUUGAGUACGCACAAAGUGGGCGGAAUUCGUGGUGUAGCGGUGAAAUGCUUAGAUAUCACGAAGAACUCCGAUUG
This 696-nucleotide ribosomal RNA is filed under the name uncultured Bacteroidales bacterium. RNAcentral describes it as "bacterial SSU rRNA". It matches the Rfam family "Bacterial small subunit ribosomal RNA", at positions 32 to 715 of the family's 1533-position model. Lineage: Bacteria; Pseudomonadati; Bacteroidota; Bacteroidia; Bacteroidales. The record is from RNAcentral.